Molecule: ribosomal RNA, 482 nt
Filed under: uncultured bacterium
Lineage: Bacteria
Description: partial 16S ribosomal RNA
Rfam family: Bacterial small subunit ribosomal RNA
Source: RNAcentral
AUUGAACGCUGGCGGCAUGCUUUACACAUGCAAGUCGAACGGCAGCGCGGGGCAACCUGGCGGCGAGUGGCGAACGGGUGAGUAAUAUAUCGGAACGUACCCAGAAGUGUGGGAUAACGUAGCGAAAGUUACGCUAAUACCUCAUACGAUCUACGGAUGAUUGUAGAGGACCGCAAGGCCUUAUGCUUUUGGAUCGGCCGAUAUCUGAUUAGCUCGUUGGUGAGGUAAAGGCUCACCAAGGCGACGAUCAGUAGCUGGUCUGAGAGGACGACCAGCCACACUGGAACUGAGAAACGGUCCAGACUCCUACGGGAGGCAGCAGUGGGGAAUUUUGGACAAUGGGCGCAAGCCUGAUCCAGCAAUGCCGCGUGAGUGAAGAAGGCCUUCGGGUUGUAAAGCUCUUUUGUCAGGGAAGAAACGGUAGAGGCUAAUAUCCUUUGCUAAUGACGGUACCUGAAGAAUAAGCACCGGCUAACUACGUG